RNAcentral lists this ribosomal RNA (335 nucleotides) under uncultured Deferribacteres bacterium. Its description in RNAcentral is "bacterial SSU rRNA". It matches the Rfam family "Bacterial small subunit ribosomal RNA", at positions 28 to 351 of the family's 1533-position model. Lineage: Bacteria; Pseudomonadati; Deferribacterota; Deferribacteres. The record is from RNAcentral.
GACGAACGCUGGCGGCGUGCCUUAUACAUGCAAGUCGAACGAGAAAGCUCCCUUCGGGGGGUGAGUAAAGUGGCGAACGGGUGAGUAAUACGUAGGUAAUCUACCCAUAGAUUGGGGAUAACGCGCCUAACGGUGCGCUAAUACCGAAUAACGCAUUAAGAUGUUGGUUUUAAUGCCAAAGGUGGUUCGCAAGAACUAUCGUCUUUGGAUGAGCUUACGGCCCAUUAGCUAGUUGGUAGGGUAACGGCCUACCAAGGCUACGAUGGGUAGCCGGCCUGAGAGGGUGUCCGGCCACACUGGGACUGAGAUACGGCCCAGACUCCUACGGGAGGCAG